AUGAACGCUGGCGGCGUGUCUAAGGCAUGCAAGUCGUGCGGACGCAGCUCGCAAGAGUUGUGUUAGCGGCAAACGGGUGAGUAACACAUUGGUAACCUGCCUCGAAGACGGGCAUAACUUCGCGAAAGCGAUGCUAAUUCCCGAUGGUCUCCGACCCACUUAAGUGGCGUCGGAGUAAAGUACAAAAUACACUUCGAGAGGGGCCUAUGUCCUAUCAGCUAGUUGGUGAGGUAACGGCUCACCAAGGCAACGACGGGUAGCAGGCGUGAGAGCGUGACCUGCCUCACUGGGACUGAGACACUGCCCAGACACCUACGGGUGGCUGCAGUCAAGAAUAUUCCCCAAUGGACGAAAGUCUGAGGGAGCGACGCCGCGUGCAGGAUGAAGGCCUUCGGGUUGUAAACUGCUUUUUUCUGGGACGAAUUCUGACGGUACCAGAAGAAUAAGAGGUUGCUAACUCUGU
RNAcentral lists this ribosomal RNA (463 nucleotides) under uncultured bacterium. RNAcentral describes it as "bacterial SSU rRNA". It matches the Rfam family "Bacterial small subunit ribosomal RNA", at positions 29 to 506 of the family's 1533-position model. The record is from RNAcentral.